This 210-nucleotide ribosomal RNA is filed under the name uncultured Flexibacter sp. Its description in RNAcentral is "partial 16S ribosomal RNA". It matches the Rfam family "Bacterial small subunit ribosomal RNA", at positions 355 to 561 of the family's 1533-position model. The record is from RNAcentral. Lineage: Bacteria; Pseudomonadati; Bacteroidota; Cytophagia; Cytophagales; Flexibacteraceae.
UAGGGAAUAUUGGACAAUGGGUGAGAGCCUGAUCCAGCCAUGCCGCGUGCAGGACAGAUGGCGUUAUGCGUUGUAAACUGCUUUUGCCAGGGGAUAAAACGGUUCUGCGGAAGCUAAUUGAAGGUACCUGGUGAAUAAGCCACGGCUAACUACGUGCCAGCAGCCGCGGUAAUACGUAGGUGGCAAGCGUUGUCCGGAUUUAUUGGGUUU